Long non-coding RNA from Neofelis nebulosa (Clouded leopard), 3759 nucleotides. RefSeq lists it as uncharacterized. The transcript has 3 exons. The record is from RefSeq and is a predicted model, not a curated record. NCBI's taxonomy places the organism in Eukaryota, Metazoa, Chordata, Mammalia, Carnivora, Felidae.
GGGAGGGGCAGAGAGAGGGAGACAGAAUCCCAAGCAGGCUCCUUGCCUUCAUUGCAGAGCCCGGUGUGGGGCUCAAACUCAAGACCCAUGAGAUCAUGACCUGAGCGGAAACCAAGAGUUGGAUGCUUAAUUGACGGAGUCACCCAAGUGCAGCGCGCCCCCCUCCCACAAAUCUUUUCUUUUUCACAAAUUCAAGUUAAUACUACAGGUGACUUUUUUAGAAAAUAUUUGGGCAUAAGGUUUAAAAACCUAACUUUUUGUUUGUUUGUAUGUUUAACAGCACGGGGAAUAGACCGUAAUAAAAUUUUUAUGGCCCCGAUACUAAAAUGACGAUGGUACUCUCCCAAGGGGUUCAAAAUAAAAACAACAUUAAAUCGCAAAAUAAAAUUUUAUUUCAAAAGCUAAAACUCACAAGUGUGCUGAAAUAAGGCCAGGAUGUAAGUUCAUGCGGGAGGGAAAAAUUGCGGGUUCCCCAGUGCCAGAAACAGUGCCUUGCACAACAGCAAGGUACUCAAUAAACAGAAUGAUGGCUACAGUUUUUCCCAGUUCUUUCUUGAAUGCCCCUUACCCCCAUCCCUGGCCCUGCCCUGGCCCCAGCAUGUUCUUACUUGGCUUCUUGGGCAAUCUAGCCAUGACUGGGCAUGUGGCUAGGGCUCGGUCAGUAUUUGUUGAUUGUAAGACUUGCACUGGACAGGACUGGAGUAUCGCAGACCACACGAUCACCUGAGGCCUGGCUGCAGGGCCUACAUCAGCCCUAUCUGGGCUGGAGCUGAACUUCAAGGUUACAACAGAGGACCACGCACUCCUGCCCCGUUCAGAUUGCUUAGCUCCGUGGAUGGGAUCAGCCGACAGGAUUCUUCAUUUGCACAGUUUGGCUGAACCAUUCUAUUCCUUCUUCCACAUUGAUCAGGUGGUUUGGAAUCAACUGUGGGGAACCUGCCCAGAGGGUGUCUGCAGGUGAAGAAUCUUCAUUUUCUCCUGGCCUCUGUUUGUCGUGAAUGGGACAGUUCACAGGAGGCGGGACUUCGGGGGUUCAUUUGCUACUAUGACUUUGCCAUCCAAGUCUAGUGUUCAUCCAGCUGGUGUCUGUCUGAGCUUGGAACUUGGAGAAGAGUGAAGCAAGACGUUGUGAAAUAGGCUGGGGAAAUGGAGAAAACCUGGUGUUUUCAAGUAGCACUCCACUCAUUGGCCUGCCAGAUCAGCAGGCUUACCAAACAGCAGCUCCGAGCCACAGUGAAUAUUUCAACACGUCUUACCCGUUUCUGGCCCGUGUGGUAAGAUGACCAGAGAAGUACACAAAAAACCCUAGUAAUGGAGAAUACCGAAGAGUUUCAAAUGAGGUGAUUCUAGAUUGUAUGUUUAGAUCAAGCAGCCCCACGGUGUUCGAGAUUAAUUUAGUUGUGGUGUUCUGUUUUUAGUGUUUGUUUAUUCAUUUUUGAGAGAGAGAGCACGAGCGGGAGAGGAACAGAAAGAAUCCCAACCACGAUCCGUGCUGUCAGCACAGAGCCCAACACAGCGCUUGGUCCCACAAACCAAACUGUGAGAUCAUGACCUGAGCUAAAAUCAAGAGUUUGAGACAUGCAAUGGAGAGCAAGGAAAACUGAGGCAGCAACUGUCAAACGUUGGUGACCUCCUGGAAAGGAGCAAAGUAGGCAGCUGCUGCCAUGCAUCCUGGAGCUGGGGACUAAAUUCACUCCGGUGGCAAACCUCUGAUGCAGGACGUUUGUGAAAAGGCAUUGUACCGCGGAAAGCACGAAUUAAAUCCGCAGAACACGUAGAGUGUUGCCACUUCUAACUGAGCUAACCUGCCAAGAAGAGCGUUUCCACUUCUGCUAGAGGAAACUUCAAGCAGGAAAAAAGUAUGGGCCAAACCUUGCCCGAGAGUUAAACUGGUUAAACUGGCUCUGCCCUUGUCUCCUGCACCUGCCUGGGACACCAGCUGGAAGGCAGGCUUGUUCCCUCCUCCGGGGAACAUGCCGAUCUUCACCACUCAGCCCCAUCUGAUCUUGUUGAACAGGCAUAGAGCAGUCAAAAUCCCACCUCCUCAUGUAAACCUGGAAGUGUUUGGGUGGGUGGGUCCUGGUCCAAGCAAGGAUCAGACCAACUGGAAACAAACUGACCCACCCAGACUGGGUGUAAUUCCAAAGGAACUACGCAAAGUAUUAUAUUCCCACCAUUGUAUUGCACUCUUCCCCAUCCUGGUGAGAUUGUGUCACACCCCUUUGCCACAGAAACUGGUGAUCCAAAGGCACGUGGUUUAAGAAGUGGUCAGUUUGAUUAGGAAAAUUAAUCAACCCUUGAAUUCGAUUUUUACUUCUCCUUGAUGCUUCUGUCUGCUACCACUGUCAACGAUACGCCAUGGAGACUAAAGAAGGAAUAGAACUGUCGGAGGAAGAUAGGGAAAAAAAUGACAAGGCAAGGAGUUUUCACAGAGCUAUAUACAUUCAAUCUAAAAGAGCUGUCCCUAAGUCUUAGAUUAUGUCUUUCUGACGUUCGUUAAUGUUAAAAUGUCCUCUUAUUUAUAAAAUGAUGGUGAUAACAAAUGCUGAUUGUUUGGUACAAUUGAGAGCUGACAACCUAUGUCAGUUCACCAACUUUUUUUUUUCUUUUAGAGAGAGAAAGAGAGAGAGAGACAGCGAGUGAAUGGGGAAGAGGGGCAGAGGGAGAGAGAGAAUCUCAAUCAGGCUCCACACUCAGAGCAGAGCCCAAUGCAGAGCUCGAUCCCAUGACCCUGGGACCAUGACCUGAGACGAAAUCAGGAGUCAGACAUUCAACCAACUGAGCCACCCAGACAUCCAAGUUCACCAACUUUAAAAAAAAUUUUUUUUAAUUUAUUUUUGAGAGAGAGAGCACAAUCAGGGGAAGGGCAGAGAGAGACACACACACACACAGAAUCUGAAGCAGGUUCCAGGCUCUGAGCUGUCAGCGCAGAGCCCCACACGGGGCUCAAACUCACAGACUGUGAGAUCAUGACCUGAGCCCAAGUUGGACGCUCAACUGACUGGCGCCCCUCCCCCACGCCAGUUCACCAACUUUUAAAAAACUUUGCCAGCCCCUAAAAUCCAGCAGUGUGGGAACCCCUGGAUUGCUGUAGUGGCCUCAGAGGCUUUGGGUAAGGACAGGGAGAAGAGUCUCUCCUUUUCAUGUAUGAGUAGCGCUCCAGAUCUGCUGGGUGGGCUCCAAGUAUCCUCUGUCACCAAAUGGCACAACUUGGAGGGGCAACUUUGAUUAAAAUGAAUAAUGUUCCCUAGGCUCCCAGGAUCCUGUUUUUCAGACCCACCUAAGAGCCCAGUGUUCUUAUGUGGUGCUGUCUCACCUGUCAGGGUGGAACAUGUCUGAUAACCUAAUUUAUGUUAAACUUUAGGAGUUUACUGCUCACUCAUCAAAGAAUUUGUAUUUUCAACCUAAGACUUGAAGAGAGUGGUAGAUGCUGACUCCAAAGGCAUAUUCCACUGAUAAUGGAAUUUUAGGGAGAGUGAGGGAGCAUGCCCUGACAUGGGAUGUAUCCGAUCGCACAGGUAGGCAUUCAUCCAGCCUGCCUAUGAAUGACACCCAAGCCCACCUUGACACUGUUCCACUUAUAGGUCACCUUGUCUAGUAAAACAUUUUUAAGCUUGAAUGCCUUCUGCUUUAUGGUUUUCAAAGCCCUUUCUUGAACAUUCCCUAGUGUGAUCCUCAUAACAGUGCUGAGAGGUAAGCAGGGAAGGUAGCAGCAUCUUUGUUUCAUUUUAUAAUUUUUUUUAAUGUUUAUUUAUUUAU